Molecule: transfer RNA, 64 nt
Filed under: Cyrtodactylus cf. condorensis
Lineage: Eukaryota; Metazoa; Chordata; Lepidosauria; Squamata; Gekkonidae
Description: tRNA-Ala
Source: RNAcentral
GAGGCCUUGGCUUAAUUAAAGUGUUUGAGUUGCAAUCAGAAAAUGUAUUAUUUAUACAGGCCUU